Regulatory RNA element from Lasius niger, 45 nucleotides. It matches the Rfam family "Histone 3' UTR stem-loop". Rfam says of the family: The mRNAs of metazoan histone genes lack a poly-A tail. 3' end processing occurs at a site between a highly conserved stem-loop (modelled by this family) and a purine rich region around 20 nts downstream (the histone downstream element, or HDE). The stem-loop is bound by a 31 kDa stem-loop binding protein (SLBP - also termed the histone hairpin binding protein, or HBP). The record is from Rfam. Lineage: Eukaryota; Metazoa; Arthropoda; Insecta; Hymenoptera; Formicidae.
CAAACGGCCCUUUUCAGGGCCACCAAUAAAUAUAACCAGAACACC